RNAcentral lists this ribosomal RNA (459 nucleotides) under uncultured bacterium. Its description in RNAcentral is "partial 16S ribosomal RNA". It matches the Rfam family "Bacterial small subunit ribosomal RNA", at positions 338 to 795 of the family's 1533-position model. The record is from RNAcentral.
CCUACGGGAGGCAGCAGUGAGGAAUAUUGGUCAAUGGACGCGAGUCUGACCCAGCCACGUAGCGUGAAGGAUGACUGCCCUAUGGGUUGUAAACUUCUUUUUUAAAGGAAUAAAACGAGGCACGUGUGCCUUUUGCAUGUACUUUAUGCAUAAGGCUCGGCUAACUCCGUGCCAGCAGCCGCGGUACUACGGAGGAUCCGAGCGUUAUCCGGAUUUAUUGGGUUUAAAGGGAGCGUAGAUGGGUAGUUAAGUCAGUUGUGAAAGUUUGCGGCUCAACCGUCAAUUUGCAUUUGAAACUGGCUGUCUUGAGUGCAGGUGAGGUAGGCGGAAUUCGGGGUGUAGCGGUGAAAUGCGUAGAUAUCACGAAGAACCCCGAUUGCGAAGGCAGCUUACUAAACUGUGACUGACAUUGAGGCUCGAAAGUGUGGGUAGCAAACAGGAUUAGAUACCCGAGUAGUC